RNAcentral lists this ribosomal RNA (301 nucleotides) under uncultured bacterium. Its description in RNAcentral is "partial 16S ribosomal RNA". It matches the Rfam family "Bacterial small subunit ribosomal RNA", at positions 509 to 807 of the family's 1533-position model. The record is from RNAcentral.
CAGCAGCCGCGGUAAUACGAAGGGUGCAAGCGUUACUCGGAAUUACUGGGCGUAAAGCGUGCGUAGGUGGUGGUUUAAGUCCGUUGUGAAAGCCCUAGGCUCAACCUGGGAAUUGCAGUGGAUACUGGGUCACUAGAGUGUGGUAGAGGAUAGUGGAAUUUCCGGUGUAGCAGUGAAAUGCGUAGAGAUCGGAAGGAACAUCUGUGGCGAAGGCGACUAUCUGGGCCAACACUGACACUGAGGCACGAAAGCGUGGGGAGCAAACAGGAUUAGAUACCCCGGUAGUCCCUGUCUCUUAUAC